This 74-nucleotide non-coding RNA is filed under the name Planktothrix serta PCC 8927. RNAcentral describes it as "HEARO". It matches the Rfam family "HNH endonuclease-associated RNA and ORF (HEARO) RNA", at positions 1 to 63 of the family's 211-position model. Lineage: Bacteria; Bacillati; Cyanobacteriota; Cyanophyceae; Oscillatoriales; Microcoleaceae. The record is from RNAcentral.
GUCAACAACCCGCCGUUAAAUCGGGGUACCGAUUUUAACGGGGGCUUGAAAUCAAGCCCAAGUUGACCAGACUG